This 286-nucleotide ribosomal RNA is filed under the name uncultured bacterium. Its description in RNAcentral is "partial 16S ribosomal RNA". It matches the Rfam family "Bacterial small subunit ribosomal RNA", at positions 196 to 479 of the family's 1533-position model. The record is from RNAcentral.
GGCGCUGGAAGGCGCCACUAAAAGAUGAGGGUGCGGAACAUUAGUUAGUUGGUGAGGUAAUGGCCCACCAAGACUAUGAUGUUUAGCCGGGUCGAGAGACUGAACGGCCACAUUGGGACUGAGAUACGGCCCAAACUCCUACGGGAGGCAGCAGUAGGGAAUAUUCCACAAUGAGCGAAAGCUUGAUGGAGCGACACAGCGUGCACGAUGAAGGUCUUCGGAUUGUAAAGUGCUGUUAUAAGGGAAGAACAUUUGCAAUAGGAAAUGAUUGCAGACUGACGGUACC